Non-coding RNA from Salvia hispanica, 2690 nucleotides. The record is from RefSeq and is a predicted model, not a curated record. Lineage: Eukaryota; Viridiplantae; Streptophyta; Magnoliopsida; Lamiales; Lamiaceae.
UCUCAAAUUUCUAUCACGAUUUGCGUAUGCAGAUGUGAUCACUCUUUCUCUGUUCAAGGACUAAUGAGUUAUGAGGACACUAAAAAGAAAAUUGUGUGGAAACUAAAGAACCAAUUAUUUUGUGGAAGCCAGCUGGGAAAAUUGUAUGCAGGGCCAUCCUAAUAUUGAGAAUCUCUAUGUCAACAAGUUGCAAUUGACUUCUCUUCUAAGUACAUGUACAUCACAUUAGUCUUCUUCUUUUAUCUAGUACUAGUACUUUUAUUCUGUUUCUGAGCAUUCAUGGCGGCUUAUGCAGCUGUGGUUUCUCUUAUGCAUCUCAUAGAUGAUAUCGAACAUCAUCCUUCCCCUCCAAUUUCUAUUGACAAACAACAACUUGAAUCUCUCUCUCAAACCGUGACCUUCUUGCAAGAAUUUCUUGAACGCUACAAUUCUCCUUUUGCCCACAGCAACGAAGCCAAUCCCUUGGAGAUGCAUAUUGCAGAAGCAGCUUAUGCAGCUGAAGAUGUUAUUGAGUCCCAUAUUGUAGAUAUGAUUAAGCACACUGCAGUUCAUCAUCAACAAAUCUACUCUGGAGGAGAAUCCAACAAUCAAAGGAAACCGGUUAUGUGCUCUAAUUACUUCGGAUGGCUAAUGAAACCCAUGACUCAUGGCAGAAAGAUCAAUUACAUUGAUAAUCUGUAUCAAGCUCUGAAGAAAGUGAUAAAGGACAUGGACUUGGUCAAGAAGGAGGCGAUGAAGAUCUCUUUAGUAGAAGCUCAUCUGCAGCGGUUGGAGACUGCGCCCGUUGAUCAGCUGCCGAGAGAGGUCUCCUCGACUCAUGUUGUUUCGUUGACGUAUUCUUUGAAGGAAAACUUUAUGGUGGGCUUUGACCAAGUGUUUCUUGAAGUUUUGGAUAAGCUCACUGGAGGCCAACUGAACUGCCAAAUCAUCCCCAUCACGGGGAUGGGCGGAAUUGGUUGCGUGGACUGAUUCUACCAGAUUCCCCUAGUGGUGGCGACAACGACAUUGUUGUUAUGAAGAAUCUGCAAACACUCAAAGGAGCAAAGAAUUUGAUUUUGAAUGAGGGGAUCGUCAAAAGAAUUCCUGAUGUGAAGAAUUUGCAUCUAAGGUAUCAAAUGGAACAAAUGGAGGGAAGCAACGGUCUCAUCUAUCUUCAGUGCUUGAAUAAAUUGGAAAAUUUUUGGUGCUCCACCAAAUAUGGAAGUGAUGAGUGUUGGCAAAUGGCAAGGUUCCCACACUCCCUCAAGAAGUUGUCUGUUAUUGCCUCUUCUGCUCUGGGGUUGGAAGACAUAUUGCAAAAAGUCGGUUCAUUACCCUUUCUUGAGAAAUUUGUGUUGAAAGGAGGUUUCUUCAAAACAUGCAAGUGGGAAACAAUUGGAGGCCAAUUCCGGAGCCUCAAGUUUCUACAAUUGCGCAAUUGUGACGGUCUAGAAGAUUGGAUUGUGUCAGACAACUCUCACUUCCCACUUCUCCAGAAGCUUCGUCUUGAUUAUUUAAGGACACUCAAGGAGAUCCCGUCAGAAAUUGGAGAAAUACCAACACUAAGAUCAAUUGAAUUGGAUCGUUGCAGUGAAUCAACGGUGGUGUCAGCUAAAAAGAUAGUAGAGGAACAAGAGGAUUUAUAUGGAGACCAACUAGACCUUCAUGUUCGAGCUCUAGUUUGGAAGGAAGAAGAAGCACUGAAGAGCUUGGCAAAUGCCAACUUUGAAGUUAAAGUGGGAAUUAACAGAGACUUGUCUUUCAUGUAGCAUGGAAGAGUAGUGUACUAAUAAAGUUUGAGCUUGCUUCAAUAGCAUAAACUCUUUCUAUUGAUACUUAUAUUCUAUUGUAAGAGCAAGCAAAAGCAUUUCAGCAUUUGCGUUUCUAUGUAAUUUACCUCAUCUUUUCCAUUCGAUAAACAUUGUACUGCAAAAGAGAUAGUAGAGGGAAUAUAGAAUUUACAUUGAGAAGACGUAUCCUUUCGUGUUGUAGGAUCACUACUGAGCUAGGCAGGUCACAAUUUAAAGUUGUAGGAUGAUUCUGUUUUAUUUCAUCUCCAACUAUGUAAUUAUAUUACAUAAUUAUGCUGUGCAUAUGAGUUCUUCAUCAUUCAUCAACACUUGAUUCUGGGGAUUAAAAGCGGCGCUGGAGGAUGGAAUCUCAGUUUCUCUUUGAUGAUCAGUUUGAGAUAGAGCUCUAUCAGUGGUGGAGUCUGCCUGGAUGAUAGCAGAGGAGCAAGAUGAAAUACAAGCGAGCAACAACCAAGCACUACAGAGCCUUGCAAGCCCCAAAUUUCUCGUCGAGAUUGACUUAUUUUUAGGCUAUUACAAUAAAUCUAUGGUACAUUUGUUUCACUUUUCAAUUUCUAGGUAAAUAUAUAUAGACAGAAAAUAUCGCAAAUAUGCUCGUCAUAACUUAUUACUCAUGUAGUAUUGAUCUGCAGAUGUCAUCUCUCAAAUCUCUCUCAAGAUUUGCAUAUGCAGAUGUAAUCACUCUGUGCUUCCAGGUACUCUCUCUCUCUGUUCAUGGACUGAUGAGGCCACCUACGUCGGAAGUGGUUCUUGGAUAUGUGCGGAUUGACACCAACUUCUGUUUUCUUUGGGUUCUGUUUCCGCGUUUCCGUCUUUGCAAAUACUGUUUGUACAUGUUUGCUUGUUCCAUUGUGAUAAAAGGAUCGAAGAAUAGGUUUUUUUGUAUUCACUUCUGGUGUA